Non-coding RNA from Sorex fumeus (smoky shrew), 564 nucleotides. Lineage: Eukaryota; Metazoa; Chordata; Mammalia; Eulipotyphla; Soricidae. The record is from the annotation of a RefSeq genome assembly.
AUGAUCUGGGUUCUUCUCCUUCUCAUCCUCCUCAGUCAGGGCCCAGGAACCUGGGCCCAGAAUGUCCUGACUCAGCCUCUCUCAGUGUCUGGGACUCAGGGACAGAGAGUCACCAUCUCCUGCAUAGGAACCAGUGAUGACAUUGGGGGAUAUAAUGAGGUCUCCUGGUACCAGCAGCAUGAGAACAAGGUCCCAAAAAUGCUGAUUUAUAAUGUCAAUAAGCGGCCAUCAGGGAUACCUGAUCGCUUCUCUGGCUCCAAGUCUGGCAACACAGCAACCCUGACCAUCUCUGGGCUCAAGCCUGAGGACGAGGCUGAUUACUACUGUUGCUCAGGCAGGCGUGGUGGCACACGCACGGUGGUUCACGCUCAUAGGGAAGUAUUGCAAUAUGUGGCCAUCGGGGAAAGUGAAGACCGGAAUUCUGAGAAGAUCGGGAGUCUGGCCCAGUCAGCCCUGACUCAGCCUCCAGCAAUGUCUGGAACGCCAGGACAGAUGAUCACCAUCUCCUGUACCGGGACCAGCAGUGACUUUGGGGGAUAUGGCUAUGUCUCCUGGUACCAGUAG